Molecule: long non-coding RNA, 1508 nt
Organism: Centruroides sculpturatus (bark scorpion)
Lineage: Eukaryota; Metazoa; Arthropoda; Arachnida; Scorpiones; Buthidae
Exons: 3
Source: RefSeq, a predicted model, not a curated record
UUUAAGAAGGAAUGAACGAAUUGAGGACAAAUGCUAUUGAUCCACUGAUUUGUUAUAAAAAGGUGGAGAUCACUGUUUUUCCUUGCUUUUUGUUCUAAUCCAGAUGUCACUAGCCAUGUAAGGCUUUAGUCAUGAACUGUACAGCCUUGUUUUUUAGCUAAAGGGGAUUCUUAGCUCUGAUUAUGUUUCCGCCUUAUAUUCAUCGAUGCUUCAAUUCCGUUAAGGAAGAAUGAGAUAAGACGUUCCUUCCAUAAAUGAAAGGUUAUCAUACUACAUUCCCAGGAAAAAAGUGAAUGAGCUGAGACCUGUGGAUAUUCUUCAGCAUAUGCAAGCCAUAUACAGUGAGGAGAGUUUGGCUUGCAGAACCAUGUUUACACAGUAUGAGACGUUUCACAAAAGCUGUAAAGCUUCAACAGAUAAACCACAACUGGAGCAGAGUAAGUUCACCAUCACAAGGAAAGCAUUGCCACGAUAGACCAUGCAGUAAAGGCUAAUCAGCAGAUAACCAUUCAAUAAUCGGCACACAAAAGUGACCUCAAUAUCGGCUUAAUCAGUGCAAUCAUUCAUCAACAUCUGAAGUUCGAAAAUAGUGUGUGUCCAAUGGGUUCCAAAGCAUCUGACAGUGGAACAGAAGUAAAAUUAUACGGAUUCAUCAUUGGCAUUGGAGCACCUUACAUGUUACUGCAGUUGUGAGAAUAAAUUUUUGCCACAAGUUAUCACCAGUGAUGACACACGAUGCACAUUUUUGACUCAAGAUAAAACACACGAGCAAGCAGUGAAAACAUCUAUCUUCAUCAACAAGAAGGAAGACUUGUUCUACCACAAAUUCUGGUGACCAUUGUAAGGACAGAAGACGCCGACGAAAGGCGAAGAAAGCCCGCUCGGGUGAAGACAGGAGUUGCCGACGGGGCGAAGAGGGGUCCCGUGUCACGUUUCUUUAAGGCCCGCUCGAGUAAAGAGGCCGACGGGAGAUGAUGAGUCCUCCGAGUGUCCCGCAUGUUUAAGAUCCGCUCGGGUGAAAACAGAAGAUGCCGAGGAAAGGCGGAGAAGGCUUUCUGUGUCUCGUUUUAUUAAAUUUCGCGCAGGGCGAAAUUGUUUUGUUUUUGUUUAUUGAGGUUCGGUAUGAGUUUGUAGUAUAUUUUGUGGCCCUAACGCGCUUUUUAUUGACCUGGGAUCUUAGUGGCUUUCUUUCUUUCAUUAUUACUAGUUGUUGUAAUAUCGUAUCCAUUAGUUUAGAUUGUAACGAUACGGUGUGUUUCGAAUAGUUGAAUUUGAUGUAUUCAGAGGAAAUUAUAAAUAUUUUCAUUGUGUGAGUUAGGACGAAUGAAACUCGACAAGCGAUGUCAGUCGCUUAUAAAGUUGCAUUCUUCCCAACUCUUGUGGAACUCUGAAGCAGCCACCUCCACGUGGUGAGUUCUGGGUUGUCGAAUGGCAAGCGAAGAGCCGCUUGUUUCUUUCAAUUGAUAAUAAGAAAUGAAAACAUGCCAAUAAAAACAGAAUUUACAAAA